CCCAUGAAAAUGCCUUGUAGUUUGUGCUUACUAUAUUAUCCACUGUGUUUGUUCACUCACAUAUCAUGGUAGUUUUGUUUUUCUUAAUUAUUCUUGUUUUGGUAUUCUGACAAAAUGUUUUCCUUCAUGUCAUCUUGUAUUUUUUUUCUGCCAUUUAUGAUGUAAUUACAAAGUAUAGGAAUGGUACCACAAUAAUUUCCCCAUAUUAUUCUUUCUUCUUGUAAAGGUAACUAACUCUAAAUACUAUUCUUCAGCAUGCAGCCACCUUCUAUUUUUAUAGUCUACAAAUUAGGUGUUGGAGAAAUCUGCAUAUCCCUAACUCUAACGAUUGUUGCUGAUAUCUUGCUUAUGGAUACUCAAUCCUGGUUUCUUUUCUUGAGGGUAUGUAGAUAUGAUUGCCAAUCCUGAGGUAGCUGAUGUAUUUAGGAAAAGAGCUAAGAUAAUAUCAGAAAUACGGAAGACAGUAGAAUCUGCUGGUUUUAUUGAAGUUGAAACUCCAGUUCUGCAGGGCGCAGCUGGUGGUGCUGAAGCUAGGCCUUUCAUUACAUACCAUAACUCUCUUGGGCAAGAUAUGUAUCUACGAAUCGCAACUGAGCUCCAUUUAAAGAGAAUGCUGGUGAGGUUGGUGGAUUUGAAAAAGUAUAUGAAAUAGGAAGGAUUUUCCGGAAUGAAGGCCUUUCAACUCGUCAUAAUCCUGAAUUCACCACCAUUUGAGUACUUUCAUGAGGAAGAAGGAUUUCAGGAAAGAGCAACUAGUUCUUGAGGACUUAGUGCUAGAAUACGUAGUAUGAUAGAUUUUUGUUUUAGCUAUAAGGUAGUUGGUAUUUUCAAUUUUGAAUCGGAAUAUGCAAUGAUGAUGUAUACUUGAUAUUUGGUUCAUUUGUAUAAUAAUGUAUGAAUUUUUU
Molecule: RNA transcript, 905 nt
Organism: Salvia miltiorrhiza (redroot sage)
Lineage: Eukaryota; Viridiplantae; Streptophyta; Magnoliopsida; Lamiales; Lamiaceae
Gene name: lysine--tRNA ligase, chloroplastic/mitochondrial-like
Exons: 5
Source: RefSeq, a predicted model, not a curated record